This 1623-nucleotide unclassified non-coding RNA is filed under the name Daphnia pulicaria. RNAcentral describes it as "ankyrin repeat domain-containing protein 13C-A-like, transcript variant X1". The record is from RNAcentral. Lineage: Eukaryota; Metazoa; Arthropoda; Branchiopoda; Diplostraca; Daphniidae.
AUAUCUCUAUUUAUCCAGUGUGCGGAACGUAAGGUAAACAUGAAAAAUGGCCGAUGAUUCAAGUUCAUUAUUCCCGCUUCACUCGUGUGUUUAUCGUAACGAUAUUCGUCAAUUGUCUUCUCUUUUACGAACUACAGAUAUUAACCAAAAGGAUAAACAUGGGAACACAGUUCUUCAUUUGGCAGUUAUGUUGGGUCAUAAAGAAUGCAUACACUUGCUGCUAGCCCACAAUGCUCAGGUUAAAAUUAAGAAUGGACUUGGCUGGAAUCCACUUGCUGAAGCUAUCAGCUACGGUGAUCGACAAACAAUUCUGUUGUUAUUGAGAAAACUUAAGCAACAAAGUAAAGAACAGUUGGAAGAAAGGAGACCAAAACUGAUCCAGGCAUUAAAGCAAAUGGGUGACUUUUACUUACAACUCAAAUGGGAUUUUCAAAGCUGGGUACCAUUGGUAUCACGCAUACUGCCGUCUGAUAUUUGUCGCAUCCAUAAGAAAGGUUCAAAAAUACGGGUUGAUACAACUUUAGUUGAUUUUACUGACAUGCAUUGGGAGCGUGGGGACAUAAGUAUUGUAUUUAAUGGAGAAGCCGAACGACAACAGUCACUUUUUAUACUAGAUAACAAACAGAAAGUUUAUCAACAAAUUCGGUAUCAGGAAUCGGAGAGUGAGAUAGAGGACGAAGUCGAUAUCCUUAUGAGUAAUGAUAUAGUAGCUGUUCAAAUGUCGACACGUUUCAUUACGUUCAACCGCGCUCAAACUGGUUUCUUUUUUCGUGCUGACAAAACGGAAAUGGUGGGUCCAUAUCAGGCUGAAUUCUUUUCUAUUGGAGGUUUGGUUUUUGAAUCCCGCAAGAGGAGAGAACACCUUACUCAAGAAGACCUUCGCAAAAAUAAGGCGUUGAUGGAGACCCUGACGAAAGGUUCUAGUUCGAGUCUGACGGAGACCAGCAACGGCGAACCCAUACGCAGAGGGUCUUUACCUGCGCCAAUUAAAACGAUCCUCAGCUGGAAUGAUUACAUCAAUUGUAGUCACCCACCAAAUUUGGGUAGACAACUCAUAUGCAAAGAUGUGUCUAAAACAUUCCGCGCUACUGUUGCUAUGUGCCAAGAUUUUCCGUUAUCCAAAGCGAUGCUGUUAGAUGUGUUGGAAGUUGUAGCGCCUGUCAAACAUUUUAGCAAGCUCCGUGAAUUCGUUGAAAUGAAACUACCGCCCGGUUUUCCCGUAAAAGUUGACAUUCCAAUUUUACCGACCAUAACAACAAGAGUUAAUUUUCAAGACUUUGAAUUCCGCAACAAUAUGGAUAAUAUGUUGUUUCAAAUCCCCAAGGAUUAUACCGAGAACCCCGGAAGAUUCCCUGAUUUGUGACCAAUGGAAUGGAGCUUGCUGCUCAACUCAGAGCUUAGGGAAGUUGAGCCUUGCUGCUCCUAUCUUUACCCCGUUUCUUCAUCUAGUCAUAGUCAGUAUUCACAUCGUGGUGUACAAGAAAGCGCACCACCAUAUCCAUUGUAAAAAAGAGCAGAUAUGUUCGAGAUUUGCAGAUGUCGCGUGUACGAAGAACAAAACAAUACAGUUGUCGCGUGUCAAUGCCGCGACGGAUUGGUUGGCUAAUAGCCAUGAAUGUAAAA